CUGUGAGCUCGAUGAGUAGGGCGGGACACGUGGUAUCCUGUCUGAAUAUGGGGGGACCAUCCUCCAAGGCUAAAUACUCCUGACUGACCGAUAGUGAACCAGUACCGUGAGGGAAAGGCGAAAAGAACCCCGGCGAGGGGAGUGAAAAAGAACCUGAAACCGUGUACGUACAAGCAGUGGGAGCACAGAGCAAUCUGUGUGACUGCGUACCUUUUGUAUAAUGGGUCAGCGACUUAUAUUCUGUAGCAAGGUUAACCGAAUAGGGGAGCCGAAGGGAAACCGAGUCUUAACUGGGCGUUAAGUUGCAGGGUAUAGACCCGAAACCCGGUGAUCUAGCCAUGGGCAGGUUGAAGGUUGGGUAACACUAACUGGAGGACCGAACCGACUAAUGUUGAAAAAUUAGCGGAUGACUUGUGGCUGGGGGUGAAAGGCCAAUCAAACCGGGAGAUAGCUGGUUCUCCCCGAAAGCUAUUUAGGUAGCGCCUCGUGAAUUCAUCUCCGGGGGUAGAGCACUGUUUCGGCAAGGGGGUCAUCCCGACUUACCAACCCGAUGCAAACUGCGAAUACCGGAGAAUGUUAUCACGGGAGACACACGGCGGGUGCUAACGUCCGUCGUGAAGAGGGAAACAACCCAGACCGCCAGCUAAGGUCCCAAAGUCAUGGUUAAGUGGGAAACGAUGUGGGAAGGCCCAGACAGCCAGGAUGUUGGCUUAGAAGCAGCCAUCAUUUAAAGAAAGCGUAAUAGCUCACUGGUCGAGUCGGCCUGCGCGGAAGAUGUAACGGGGCUAAACCAUGCACCGAAGCUGCGGCAGCGACGCUUAUGCGUUGUUGGGUAGGGGAGCGUUCUGUAAGCCUGCGAAGGUGUGCUGUGAGGCAUGCUGGAGGUAUCAGAAGUGCGAAUGCUGACAUAAGUAACGAUAAAGCGGGUGAAAAGCCCGCUCGCCGGAAGACCAAGGGUUCCUGUCCAACGUUAAUCGGGGCAGGGUGAGUCGACCCCUAAGGCGAGGCCGAAAGGCGUAGUCGAUGGGAAACAGGUUAAUAUUCCUGUACUUGGUGUUACUGCGAAGGGGGGACGGAGAAGGCUAUGUUGGCCGGGCGACGGUUGUCCCGGUUUAAGCGUGUAGGCUGGUUUUCCAGGCAAAUCCGGAAAAUCAAGGCUGAGGCGUGAUGACGAGGCACUACGGUGCUGAAGCAACAAAUGCCCUGCUUCCAGGAAAAGCCUCUAAGCAUCAGGUAACAUCAAAUCGUACCCCAAACCGACACAGGUGGUCAGGUAGAGAAUACCAAGGCGCUUGAGAGAACUCGGGUGAAGGAACUAGGCAAAAUGGUGCCGUAACUUCGGGAGAAGGCACGCUGAUAUGUAGGUGAAGUCCCUCGCGGAUGGAGCUGAAAUCAGUCGAAGAUACCAGCUGGCUGCAACUGUUUAUUAAAAACACAGCACUGUGCAAACACGAAAGUGGACGUAUACGGUGUGACGCCUGCCCGGUGCCGGAAGGUUAAUUGAUGGGGUCAGCGCAAGCGAAGCUCUUGAUCGAAGCCCCGGUAAACGGCGGCCGUAACUAUAACGGUCCUAAGGUAGCGAAAUUCCUUGUCGGGUAAGUUCCGACCUGCACGAAUGGCGUAAUGAUGGCCAGGCUGUCUCCACCCGAGACUCAGUGAAAUUGAACUCGCUGUGAAGAUGCAGUGUACCCGCGGCAAGACGGAAAGACCCCGUGAACCUUUACUAUAGCUUGACACUGAACAUUGAGCCUUGAUGUGUAG
Molecule: ribosomal RNA, 1761 nt
Filed under: Escherichia coli
Lineage: Bacteria; Pseudomonadati; Pseudomonadota; Gammaproteobacteria; Enterobacterales; Enterobacteriaceae
Description: bacterial LSU rRNA
Rfam family: Bacterial large subunit ribosomal RNA
Source: RNAcentral